UGGGGAUUAGCCAAGCGGUAAGGCAACGGACUUUGACUCCGUCAUCUCAGGUUCGAAUCCUGAAUCCCCAGCCA
Molecule: transfer RNA, 74 nt
Filed under: Bacillaceae bacterium
Lineage: Bacteria; Bacillati; Bacillota; Bacilli; Caryophanales; Bacillaceae
Also listed under: 2 other names
Description: tRNA-Gln
Rfam family: tRNA
About the family: Transfer RNA (tRNA) molecules are approximately 80 nucleotides in length. Their secondary structure includes four short double-helical elements and three loops (D, anti-codon, and T loops).
Source: RNAcentral